AUUUCAUGGUGUGGGCAUUGGGUUAAAAUGUUCUUGAAACGAUCAAAACACUUUCAGAAAGACUCACCCCCAAAUUGAUAAAAUUGAUUAAUUUCAUUUCUUAACUU
Elaeis guineensis (African oil palm) is the source of this 107-nucleotide small nucleolar RNA. The record is from RefSeq and is a predicted model, not a curated record. Lineage: Eukaryota; Viridiplantae; Streptophyta; Magnoliopsida; Arecales; Arecaceae.